RNAcentral lists this ribosomal RNA (265 nucleotides) under uncultured bacterium. RNAcentral's name for it is "partial 16S ribosomal RNA". It matches the Rfam family "Bacterial small subunit ribosomal RNA", at positions 28 to 293 of the family's 1533-position model. The record is from RNAcentral.
GACGAACGCUGGCGGCGUGCUUAACACAUGCAAGUCGAGCGGUAAGGCCCUUUCGGGGGUACGACGAGCGGCGAACGGGUGAGUAACACGUGGGUGACCUGCCCUCAGCUCUGGGAUAAGCCUGGGAAACCGGGUCUAAUACCGGAUAUGACUCCAUGACGCAUGUUGUGGGGUGGAAAGCCUUGUGCGGCUGAGGAUGGGCCCGCGGCCUAUCAGCUUGUUGGUGGGGUGAUGGCCUACCAAGGCGACGACGGGUAGCCGGCCU